This 460-nucleotide ribosomal RNA is filed under the name uncultured bacterium. Its description in RNAcentral is "partial 16S ribosomal RNA". It matches the Rfam family "Bacterial small subunit ribosomal RNA", at positions 338 to 795 of the family's 1533-position model. The record is from RNAcentral.
CCUACGGGUGGCAGCAGUGAGGAAUAUUGGUCAAUGGACGAGAGUCUGAACCAGCCAAGUAGCGUGAAGGAUGACUGCCCUAUGGGUUGUAAACUUCUUUUAUAUGGGAAUAAAAUGUUCCACGUGUGGGAUUUUGUAUGUACCAUAUGAAUAAGGAUCGGCUAACUCCGUGCCAGCAGCCGCGGUAAUACGGAGGAUCCGAGCGUUAUCCGGAUUUAUUGGGGUUAAAGGGAGCGUAGGUGGAUUGUUAAGUCAGUUGUGAAAGUUUGCGGCUCAACCGUAAAAUUGCAGUUGAAACUGGCAGUCUUGAGUACAGUAGAGGUGGGCGGAAUUCGUGGUGUAGCGGUGAAAUGCUUAGAUAUCACGAAGAACUCCGAUUGCGAAGGCAGCUCACUGGACUGCAACUGACGCUGAGGAGCGAAAGCGUGGGUAGCAAACAGGAUUAGAUACCCCAGUAGUC